AGACCUUGACCCUGUCGCUUUCAGAAAAACCACUGGCAGAAGAUCCGGACCAUGGUCAAUCUGCCGGUCAUAAGCCCUUUCAAGAAGCGCUACGCCUGGGUGCAGCUGGCAGGGCACACUGGUGAGCCGUGGGGCGGGUGGGCGGGUGCCCGCGACGGGAAGGGGCUGGGCGGCGCUGACGGAUGCCGGUCCUCAGGGAGUUUUAAGGCGGCGGGCACCAGCGGGCUGAUCCUGAAGCGCUGCUCGGAGCCGGAGCGCUACUGCCUGGCGCGGCUGAUGGCUGACGCGCUGCGCGGCUGCGUGCCUGCCUUCCACGGCGUGGUGGAGCGCGACGGCGAAAGCUACCUGCAGCUGCAGGACCUGCUCGAUGGCUUCGACGGACCUUGUGUGCUCGACUGCAAAAUGGGCGUCAGGACUUACCUAGAGGAGGAGCUGACCAAGGCCCGUGAGCGGCCCAAGCUGCGGAAGGACAUGUACAAGAAAAUGCUGGCGGUGGAUCCUGAAGCUCCCACGGAGGAGGAGCACGCGCAGCGCGCCGUCACCAAGCCGCGCUACAUGCAGUGGCGGGAAGGCAUCAGCUCCAGCACCACCCUCGGCUUCCGCAUCGAGGGCAUCAAGAAAGCGGACGGCUCCUGCAGCACCGACUUCAAGACUACGCGAAGCCGAGAGCAGGUGCUUCGCGUCUUUGAAGAGUUUGUGCAAGGAGAUGAGGAAGUGCUGAGGCGGUAUCUGAACCGCCUGCAGCAGAUCCGGGACACCCUGGAGGUAUCCGAGUUCUUCAGGAGGCACGAGGUGAUCGGCAGCUCGCUCCUCUUUGUGCACGAUCACUGCCAUCGCGCCGGCGUGUGGCUCAUCGACUUCGGCAAGACCACGCCCCUCCCCGAUGGCCAGAUCCUGGACCACCGGCGGCCCUGGGAGGAGGGCAACCG
RNAcentral lists this small RNA (929 nucleotides) under Pan troglodytes (chimpanzee). RNAcentral describes it as "retained intron". The record is from RNAcentral. Lineage: Eukaryota; Metazoa; Chordata; Mammalia; Primates; Hominidae.